GAUGCAAGCGUUAUCCGGAAUCAUUGGGCGUAAAGCGCCUGUAGGUUGUUUAAUAAGUCUGUUGUUAAAGACUAGGGCUUAACCCUAGGAAAGCAAUGGAAACUACUAGACUUGAGUAUGAUAGGGGUAGAGGGAAUUUCUAGUGUAGCGGUGAAAUGCGUAGAUAUUAGAAAGAACACCGGUGGCGAAGGCGCUCUACUGGAUCAUUACUGACACUCAGAGGCGAAAGCUAGGGUAGCAAAAGGGAUUAGAUACCCCUGUAGUCCUAGCCGUAAACGAUGGAUACUACAUGUUGCGUUUUUAAUGCAGUAUGGUAGCUAACGCGUUAAGUAUCCCGCCUGGGGAGUACGCUCGCAAGGGUGAAACUCAAAGGAAUUGACGGGGGCCCGCACAAGCGGUGGAGCAUGUGGUUUAAUUCGAUGCAACGCGAAGAACCUUACCAAGGCUUGACAUACUACAAAUUUCUUUGAAAGAGGAAAGUGCCUUCGGGAAUGUAGAUACAGGUGGUGCAUGGCUGUCGUCAGCUCGUGUCGUGAGAUGUUGGGUUAAGUCCCGCAACGAGCGCAACCCUUGUUUUUAGUUGCUAAUUUAUUUAGGUUUUCUAGAAAGACUGCCGGUGACAAACCGGAGGAAGGUGAGGAUGACGUCAAGUCAGCAUGCCCCUUAUGCCUUGGGCUACACACGUGCUACAAUGGUUAAGACAAAGAGUUGCGAGCUCGCGAGAGUCAGCUA
This 732-nucleotide ribosomal RNA is filed under the name Phaeocystis rex. Its description in RNAcentral is "SSU rRNA". It matches the Rfam family "Bacterial small subunit ribosomal RNA", at positions 531 to 1270 of the family's 1533-position model. Lineage: Eukaryota; Haptophyta; Phaeocystales; Phaeocystaceae. The record is from RNAcentral.